UUCGCAAUGCCCGAAAGGGUGACGAAGCGACGCCGCGUGGGUGAGGAAGGCCUUCGGGUUGUAAAGCCCUGUCAGGAGUUAAGAAAUGUAAGUGCGCUAAUAUCGCAUUUAUUUGACGAAGGCUCCAAAGGAAGUCACGGCUAACUCUGUGCCAGCAGCCGCGGUAAUACAGAGGUGGCAAGCGUUGUUCGGAAUUAUUGGGCGUAAAGAGCACGUAGGUGGGUUUGUAAGUCAGAUGUGAAAGCCUUCUGUUCAAUGGAAGAAUUGCAUCUGAAACUGCAAGUCUUGAGUGUAGAAGGGGAGAAUGGAACUUCUGGUGGAGCGGUGAAAUGCGUAGAUAUCAGAAGGAACGCCGGCGGCGAAAGCGAUUCUCUGGCCUAUUACUGACACUCAGUGUGCGAAAGCUAGGGGAGCAAACGGGAUUAGAUACCCCGGUAGUCCUAGCCGUAAACGAUGGGCACUAAGUAGAGGGGUUUU
RNAcentral lists this ribosomal RNA (477 nucleotides) under Candidatus Scalindua brodae. RNAcentral describes it as "bacterial SSU rRNA". It matches the Rfam family "Bacterial small subunit ribosomal RNA", at positions 365 to 832 of the family's 1533-position model. The record is from RNAcentral. Lineage: Bacteria; Pseudomonadati; Planctomycetota; Candidatus Brocadiia; Candidatus Brocadiales; Candidatus Scalinduaceae.